GACGUAGGGCGCGAGGGUUGUCCGGAUUUAUUGGGCGUAAAGAGCUCGUAGGCGGCUUGUUGCGUCGACCGUGAAAACCCGGGGCUCAACUUCGGGCUUGCGGUCGAUACGGGCGGGCUAGAGUUCGGUAGGGGAGACUGGAAUUCCUGGUGUAGCGGUGAAAUGCGCAGAUAUCAGGAGGAACACCGGUGGCGAAGGCGGGUCUCUGGGCCGAUACUGACGCUGAGGAGCGAAAGCGUGGGGAGCGAACAGG
RNAcentral lists this ribosomal RNA (253 nucleotides) under uncultured bacterium. RNAcentral's name for it is "partial 16S ribosomal RNA". It matches the Rfam family "Bacterial small subunit ribosomal RNA", at positions 524 to 776 of the family's 1533-position model. The record is from RNAcentral.